RNAcentral lists this long non-coding RNA (200 nucleotides) under Nicotiana benthamiana. Its description in RNAcentral is "long non-coding RNA (NBEN_LNC000175)". The record is from RNAcentral. Lineage: Eukaryota; Viridiplantae; Streptophyta; Magnoliopsida; Solanales; Solanaceae.
GAUCAAGUAGGGGCGACUUGACAAGAACGACCAACUGUGGCAGCGGAUGGGCGCGCGACAAAGUCAUGGGCGACGAGCUGUGGCGAUGGCAUUGAGAGGAGCAGUGUCAAAGGCCAAGGUUGGGCGCAAUGCCAGCUUUAGGCGUGCAGCAGCUGGCCAACGCGCACAUGCAGCGCACAUGGAGCGGUUUUCAAGUGUGU